GGAUAACCUGCCCUAUUGUCUGGAAUAACCUCGGGAAACUGAGAACAAGGCCGGAUAACCCACAAUGCCUGGAACGGUUUGUGGGUGAAGAUAGGAUGGGUCUGCGGCGUAUCAGGUCGUAGGGGGUGUAAUGGACCUCCUAGCCAUCGACGCGUACGGGUGUUGGGAGACAUAGCCCGGAGGUGGAUUCUGAGACACGAAUCCAGACCCUACGGGGUGCAGCAGGCGCGAAAACUUCACGCUGCAGGAAACUGUGAUGAGGGAACUCCAAGUGCAUCCACUAUGUGGAUGCUUUUUUUGACUAUUAAUCGGUCAACGAAUAAGGGCUGGGAAAGACCGGUGCCAGCCGCCGCGGUAAUACCGGCAGCUCAAGUGGUCGUCGCUUUUAUUGGGCCUAAAACGUCCGUAGCCUGUUUGGUAAAUCUGUGGGUAAAUCAACCAGCUUAACUGGUUGAAUUCUGCAGAGACUGCCAGACUAGGGACCGGGAGAGGUGUGGGGUACUCUAGGGGUAGGGGUAAAAUCCUGUCAUCCUUAGAGGACCACCAGUUGCGAAGGCGCCACACUGGAACGGAUCCGACGGUCAGGGACGAAGCCUAGGGGCACGAACCGGAUUAGAUACCCGGGUAGUCCUAGGUGUAAACGCUGUGAACUUGGUGUCGGGGAUCCGCAAUGGGUCCUCGGUGCCGGAGUGAAGAUGUUAAGUUCACUGCCUGGGGAGUACGGUCGCAAGGCUGAAACUU
RNAcentral lists this ribosomal RNA (741 nucleotides) under uncultured Candidatus Poseidoniales archaeon. RNAcentral describes it as "bacterial SSU rRNA". It matches the Rfam family "Archaeal small subunit ribosomal RNA", at positions 102 to 857 of the family's 1478-position model. The record is from RNAcentral. Lineage: Archaea; Methanobacteriati; Thermoplasmatota; Candidatus Poseidoniia; Candidatus Poseidoniales.